Molecule: unclassified non-coding RNA, 1634 nt
Organism: Vespa mandarinia (Asian giant hornet)
Lineage: Eukaryota; Metazoa; Arthropoda; Insecta; Hymenoptera; Vespidae
Source: RefSeq, a predicted model, not a curated record
GAGUCUUGUUCAAAUACACCCCACUCUAUGCAACAUGGCGCCGCGCCCGAACAUUCUAUACGAACCAAUGGGUACCUUCCUGAUCCCACCGUUGGUAUUAACCAACCAAUCGGACUCUCUCGACUCUUCUACCGGUGGCGUGGCCGUAUCACGGAGUUUCGAGAUGCGAUGAAUCGUGGCCGCGACAGGACUUCUCUCUCUCUCUCUCUCUCUCUCCCUCUCUCUCUCUCUCUUUCUCUCUUUCUCUCUGUUUCUCUCUCUUUCUCUCUGUUUAUCUUCUCCUUUCUCUUUCUCUUUCCAGCGCAAGCGCCGUAUCUUCGAACUUCUUCGAAGUCGCACGAAGGCCGCUUGCGCAAUCUCUCUCCUCUCUCUUGGCCGAUAAGCGCCGCCGUCGACGGGUCCGGCGUCGGGUCGAGCGUCGGGACGGCUGCGGCCACGACGCCGGCCACGUUCUCGCGUUCGUUUCUGCUUUCAUCUCUCUCUUCCUCUUUCUUUCUUUCUCUUUCUCUCUCUCUCUCUCUCUCUCUCUCUCUCUCUCUCUCUCUCUUUCUCUCUCACUCUCUCUCUCUCUUUCUCUCUCUCUCUCACACACACAUACAUAUACACAUACACGUUCUUUCUUUCGUUCUUUCUUUCUCUUCCUCUUUCUCCCUGCCUCAUCCCUCUUUCCUCUCUUCUUCUUCUCUUUUCUCUCUUUCUUAUCGUCCUCGCGUCGACCGAUCCGCCACGCGUUUUUACACCUAUCGCUCGUCCCCGACCUUUCUUUCUAAUCGUCGUUUCCUAUUUCUUUCCUUUUCAGCAACAAUUUUUUUAACUCCCCUUAUUCGUCAACUUUUUAGUACGAACACACGAUGUUCAACUUCUUCUUCUUCUUCUUCUUCUUCUUCUUCUUCUACUUCUUCUUCAUCAUCCUCUUUCACCCCUCAUCGUAAUUUUGUUCUCUUGUCGUUACAAAUCCUUUCGAUGUUUCUUUUAUUUGUUUGUUCGUUUGUUUGUUUGUUUGUUUGUUUGUUUGUUUGUUCGUUUUCUAAUGUGUAUCUCUUCCGUGCUGUGACUUUUUUCCUCAUUUCCUUUUGGUGGUGCGAACAAGGACAAUUUUUAAUUGGUGAGGACUAUUAUGGAAGCAUCUCUUCGUAACGAUCUUACAUUCCUUCUUCUCCAAUGGAACGAGUAACGUGCUCUUGCGAUGACUCGUAAAGUUCACCGACGAGUUUCAAUUAUCCGAGAACCUGAGUUACUCCCACGAGUUAGCUUCUCCAUGGGAUAUCGAUCGUGGCAUUCGUUAAAUGCACAUAGGAGAGAAGAUCUAUCUACAACAGAUGACGAUGAAAGUGAAAAAGGGACGAUAAGGGACUAUAAUCCAAAUCCAUGAAAAUCCUUGAUUAUCACUACGACGAAAACGGAUCUUCGUGGGAGGUUGAGCAGCACGCAAAAACAGAGAUCCAUACGCAAGAAUAACACCUUCCGUGUCUGGCUAAUCACAACACUUAGAACGCCCUAUACGUAUACGAGAUACGACAUUGGAAAAACAUUCGAUCAUCUCGAACGAAACGACCAAGGAAAUGAGUAAGAACUACCACGAUUAACGGCAUAAGGAGAAACGAACGUAAACGUUCUGCUAAUCAAAACAAUGG